AUUAUAGGGCUUGUUUGGUAAAAGAGAUAAAAGAGAUAACUAAUCUCGAGAUUAAUUUUAAGAUGCGAUUAUCCUAUGUUUGGUUGAAAAAAAUGCACGGAUAACUCAUUGUGGAAUUAGUUAUCUCAAGAUUGUAGUGUUAUUUUUAACGAUGGGAUAACUAACUAGAAUAACUAAUCUCAAAACAAUUAAUUCCAGGAUAACUUAUUUCCCAGCCAAACGACCCUUAAGUAAAUGAAACCACUGCUUUCCUAUUAGUUGUCAUGUUUAUUCAUUGUCGUUUUUUCCUUUUCGUUACUACUUUAAUUUGUUUCAUUUGAGUCGAGAGUCUUUUCAAAACAGUUUCCCUACGUACCUUCAAAUGGUAGGGGUAAGAUAAGAUCUGCAUACACCUAUAUAUAUAUAUAAAAAGAAACAAUUUUUCUUUAUGUCAUACAAAGAAGAAGUAAAAGUGGGAUCUGAUCAUAUAAAAUUAAAGCAAGAAAAAGAUUAUAUACUAUAUAUAUGUUUUUUUUGUUUUUUGUUUUUCAUCCGGUGUCCGGUACCUGCAUUGGAAACCGACUAAUUCGAAUUCGCGCCGGGUAGGGCUCCAUUUGGGGUAGUGCUCCCAACAGAGUUUUUCUCCAUGCCCAAGGUCGAAUCCUCAACCUCUGGUUAAGGGUGGAGCAGCCCCAUCCGCUGCACCACAACCCAUGUUGGUUACUAUAUAUAUGUUCAUCUACUUUCAACAUGGUUGUAUUUGAUAUUAAUAUGGAGAGAGCAUACAUAAUAUUUUUCUCUUGAAGUGAUUUAUUAAUGCUGCAAUAUUUAUAACUUCUCUUUCUGCAAAUUUUAAAGUUGUAGUGGUUAAAAUGGCUGGCAAAUUAGCUAUGGCCUGACAUAAUGAAAUACCUUACCUAAUUUAAAUAAAUACCUUUAAUAAAAUUUAUGUAGACAUAGUUGGGAAGGCUCCAUAUGAGAAGGAAAUGACAAGAUUGUGGUCCAUAUUAAAUUCCAACAAAAUGGAAAUUUUCAUAAUUGCUAUGAAGUAAAAUGGUGCUCAUGCAUUAUUUCUUUUGAGUGUAUAGUAUAUCGGAAACAACCUUUCUACUUCAUCUGAGAUAGUGGUAGGACUGCAUACAUUUUAUCCUUCUCAGACUUCACUUUAUGGGAAUACACUGGGUAUAUUAUUGCUGCUGUUGUUGUUAUUAAGUCAAUAGUCUAUCGGAAACAGCCUCUAACGGUAUGAACUGUGUACACUUUACCCUCUCCAGAUUCCACUUUAUAGGAAUAUAUUGGGUAUGUUGUUGUUGUUGUUGAGUUGAUAGUCUAUCGAAAACAACUUCUUUACUUUAUUUGAAGUAGUGGUGUGGACUGCGUACACUUUACCCUCUCCAGACUCCAUUUUAUGGGAAUACACUGGGUAUAUUGUUGUUGUUGUUGAGUCAAUAGUUUAUCGAAAACAACUUCUUUACUUCAUCUGAAGUAGUGGUAUGGACUGUGUGCACUUUAUCCUCCUCAGACCCCACUUUAUAGGAAUACACUAGGUAUGUUGUUGUUACUAUUGUUGUUGUUGAGUCGAUAGUCUAUCAGAAACAGUCUCUCUACUUCAUCUGGAGUAGUGUGGUAUGGACUGCGUACACUUUACCGUCCCCAGACUCUACUUUAUGGAAAUACACUGGGUGUAUUAUUGUUGUUUUUGAGUCAAUAGCCUAUCGAAAACAACCUCUCUACUGCAUCUGAGGUAGUGAUAUGGACCGCAUAAAUUUUACCCUCCUCAAACUCCACUUUAUAGGAAUACACUAGGUAUGUUGUUGUUGCUGUCGUUGUUGUUGAGUCAAUAGUCUAUCGAAAACAGUCUCUUUACAUCACAAAGAAAGAAAUAAGGUUUGUGUAUAUCAUUCACAAAGAAAGAAAUAAGGUUUGUGUAUAUCAUGCUCUUUUCAAACUCCACUUGUGAAUUACACCGAAUACGUAGUUAUUGUAUAUAUAAUCCACGAAAAGAGGCUCAAGUUUUUUUUUUGUUUUUAUUUUUCACCUGACGUGGAGUACUCAUUUUGGGAGUAACUCUGACUAAUCCAAAUUCACGUUAUGUAAAUGUUCAUAUUUUAAUAGAGUUAAAAGGAUCGAGACCUAUAAUUAAAGAUGGAGAGAUGUUACCUAUAUAUUCACCACAAGUAUUGGUGGUGAAACUUGAAAGGGAUCAAAUAUGGUAAAAAAUUCUUAGAUCAAACAUAGUAACAUACAAAAAUAUAGAUCAUAUAAAUUAGUAUGAAAGUUUAAUAUGUACCUAUUUGAGGAUUGAUGUACAAUACUAGGCCUCAGUGGAACAAAUACCACAUGUUGGACAGUUCAAUGCACUAAAAUUUUCGCUAUAUUUAGGGUUAACGAAAGAGCUAGACUACAAGAGUCUACUGUACGUACCGUACCCUGCAUUUAACAAGAGACUGUUUUCACGACCUGAACUCACAUGAAGGCAACUUUACAUUGACUGUACGUACCAUACCCUGCAUUUAACAAGAGACUAUUUUCACGAUCUGAACUCACAUGAAGGCAACUUUACAUUGACUGUACGUAUCGUACCCUGCAUUUAACAAGAGACUGUUUUCACGACCUAAACUCACAUGGAGGCAACUUUACAUUGAUUGUAAAGUAUCGUACCCUGCAUUUAAAAAGAGACUGUUUUCACGACCUAAACUCACAUGAAGGCAACUUUACAUUGACUGUACGUACCGUACCCUACAUUUAACAAGAGACUGUUUUCACAACCUGAACUCACAUAGGCAACUUAACAAUGUAAGAUAUUCAAUACGAGUUCAGUAAAAUUCAAUAAUUUUGAUUCAAACCUUCUAUAUAUGUUAGAGAAAUUUACCAAAUGCAUACAAAAUAAAAUUCAUAAUUGAAAUUAAAUGUUGUUUAUGAAAUUAAACCAAUUGCUUUCUUGAGUUGGGGUGGGGGCCUAUAAUACUAUAUUAAUUGGAACUUAUGGAAAGAUUAAAAAAGGACACCAUGUGAUAACAAAUCACUAAAAACCAAACAUGGAUUAAUAAAGUUACAAAAAUAUAAAUCAACAAAUAAAGUUUCCAACAUAAUUCACAAAAUUGAGAAAUAAUAGAUCUAGUGAUAGAGAAUAACUCAC
Molecule: long non-coding RNA, 3118 nt
Filed under: Capsicum annuum
Lineage: Eukaryota; Viridiplantae; Streptophyta; Magnoliopsida; Solanales; Solanaceae
Description: long non-coding RNA (CANN_LNC013369)
Source: RNAcentral